AGUGAACGCUGGCGGCAGGCCUAAUACAUGCAAGUCGAACGGCAGCACGGCAGAGCUUGCUCUGUGGGUGGCGAGUGGCGGACGGGUGAGGAAUACAUGGGAAUCUGCCCAGUCGUGGGGGAUAACGUAGGGAAACUUACGCUAAUACCGCAUGCGCCCUUCGGGGAAAGCCGGGGACCGUUCGGGCCUGGCGCGAUUGGAUGAGCCCAUGUCGGAUUAGCUAGUUGGCGGGGUAAUGGCCCACCAAGGCGACGAUCCGUAGCUGGUCUGAGAGGAUGAUCAGCCACACUGGAACUGAGACACGGUCCAGACUCCUACGGGAGGCAGCAGUAGGGAAUAUUGGACAAUGGGCGCAAGCCUGAUCCAGCCAUGCCGCGUGAGUGAAGAAGGCCCUCGGGUUGUAAAGCUCUUUGUCCGGAAAGAAAAGCGCCGGGUUAAUACCCUGGUGUCCUGACGGUACCGGAAGAAUAAGCACCGGCUAACUUCGUGCCAGCAGCCGCGGUAAU
Molecule: ribosomal RNA, 506 nt
Filed under: uncultured bacterium
Lineage: Bacteria
Description: bacterial SSU rRNA
Rfam family: Bacterial small subunit ribosomal RNA
Source: RNAcentral